This 276-nucleotide long non-coding RNA is filed under the name Elaeis guineensis (African oil palm). RNAcentral's name for it is "long non-coding RNA (EGUI_LNC011536)". The record is from RNAcentral. Lineage: Eukaryota; Viridiplantae; Streptophyta; Magnoliopsida; Arecales; Arecaceae.
AAGGCUCUGCACUUUACUUUUGGUAUACAAAUUUACAAUGAUCCAAAACCAGACCGUUACAUCUCUUGCAUGACCUUCAAAUCACACUUUCACCUCCUACCACAUAGAUGACUCCAUUGACUAUUGCCAGAUAAAGGUUAGAAAUAUUCAUAAAAAUAUUCAAUACCAAGAUUCUUGCUGUUCAUCAGUCAUAUUCAGACAAUCAAACAAGUCAUGGAUGGCUGAAUGGAAGUGACGAAAGAAACAAAUAAAUCACUUUAGUCAAGCUCAAUUAAC